UACGUAGGGUGCGAGCGUUAAUCGGAAUUACUGGGCGUAAAGGGUGCGUAGGCGGUUGUUUAAGUCUGUCGUGAAAUCCCCGGGCUCAACCUGGGAAUGGCGAUGGAUACUGGACAGCUAGAGUGUGUCAGAGGAUGGUGGAAUUCCCGGUGUAGCGGUGAAAUGCGUAGAGAUCGGGAGGAACAUCAGUGGCGAAGGCGGCCAUCUGGGACACACUGACGCUGAAGCACGAAAGCGUGGGGAGCAAACAGG
This 252-nucleotide ribosomal RNA is filed under the name uncultured bacterium. Its description in RNAcentral is "partial 16S ribosomal RNA". It matches the Rfam family "Bacterial small subunit ribosomal RNA", at positions 524 to 776 of the family's 1533-position model. The record is from RNAcentral.